GCAAAAAGUUAUAGAGCAUCAGACUUUUAAUCUGAGGGUCCAGGGUUCAAGUCCCUG
This 57-nucleotide transfer RNA is filed under the name Merops nubicus (carmine bee-eater). It matches the Rfam family "tRNA", at positions 1 to 63 of the family's 71-position model. Rfam says of the family: Transfer RNA (tRNA) molecules are approximately 80 nucleotides in length. Their secondary structure includes four short double-helical elements and three loops (D, anti-codon, and T loops). Lineage: Eukaryota; Metazoa; Chordata; Aves; Coraciiformes; Meropidae. The record is from Rfam by way of RNAcentral.